This 1187-nucleotide ribosomal RNA is filed under the name Fonsecaea pedrosoi. RNAcentral's name for it is "eukaryotic LSU rRNA". The stretch from base 556 to 1187 matches the Rfam family "Eukaryotic large subunit ribosomal RNA", at positions 1 to 649 of the family's 3401-position model. Lineage: Eukaryota; Fungi; Ascomycota; Eurotiomycetes; Chaetothyriales; Herpotrichiellaceae. The record is from RNAcentral.
AAUGAGUAGGGUCUUCUAGGCCCGACCUCCCAACCCUUUGUUUACUAGACCUCAGUUGCUUCGGCAGGCCCGUCUUAAUCUGACCGCCGGAGGACCGCCUAAUACGGGUGUUGCCUCUGGCCAGUGUCUGCCGAUAGCCUCAUCUCCUAACUCUGGAUCAAUCAUGAUUUACAAUGUCUAAGUGAUUUUAUUCAAUUAAAGCAAAAACUUUCAACAACGGAUCUCUUGGUUCUGGCAUCGAUGAAGAACGCAGCGAAAUGCGAUAAGUAAUGCGAAUUGCAGAAUUCCAGUGAGUCAUCGAAUCUUUGAACGCACAUUGCGCCCUUUGGUAUUCCGAAGGGCAUGCCUGUUCGAGCGUCAUUAUCACCCCCUCAAGCCCCUGCGCUUGGUGUUGGACGGUUUGGUGGAGCGAGUUCACACUUUCCACCCCUCCUAAAGACAAUGACGGCGGCCUGCGGAACCCCCGGUACACUGAGCUUCUUAACUGAGCACGUAUCGGAUGAAGGGUGCCCGGGACCCGGUCUUCUCCCUCACGGGAACACUUUUUUCUAAGGUUGACCUCGGAUCAGGUAGGAAUACGCGCUGAACUUAAGCAUAUCAAUAAGCGCAGGAAAAGAAACCAACAGGGAUUGCCUCAGUAACGGCGAGUGAAGCGGCAACAGCUCAAAUUUGAAAUCUGGCCCCUUGGGGUCCGAGUUGUAAUUUGUAGAGGAUGUUUCGGGUACCGCCUCGGUUUAAAUUUCUUGGAACAGAAUGUCAAAGAGGGUGAGAAUCCCGUCUUGGACCGGCGGUAGGGCCUAUGUGAAACUCCUUCGACGAGUCGAGUUGUUUGGGAAUGCAGCUCAAAAUGGGUGGUAAAUUUCAUCUAAAGCUAAAUAUUGGCCAGAGACCGAUAGCGCACAAGUAGAGUGAUCGAAAGAUGAAAAGCACUUUGAAAAGAGAGUUAAACAGUAUGUGAAAUUGUUGAAAGGGAAGCGCUUGCAACCAGACUUGAGCGCGGCGGUUCCCCCUUGCUUCUGCUUGGGUUACUCCGCCGUGUCCAGGCCAACAUCGGUUCUGGGGGUCGGUCAAAGGCUCUGGGAAUGUAUCUACCCACGGGUAGACUUAUAGACCAGGGUGUCAUGCGACCUCCCGGGACCGAAGAACGCGCUUCGGCUCGGAAGUUGGCCUAAUGUUUGUCACCAACC